Molecule: long non-coding RNA, 292 nt
Organism: Elgaria multicarinata webbii
Lineage: Eukaryota; Metazoa; Chordata; Lepidosauria; Squamata; Anguidae
Exons: 3
Source: RefSeq, a predicted model, not a curated record
CCAUUUCGUCUGCCUCUGGGAGCUCGAGUGCCAGAUCAUUAAGUAGCCAACACGAACAGACGAGCGGAAAUGGCAAGGAGGAAGACUGCUCUAACUCUGGCACUGAGGUGGUUCUUCAGAAAGGUUUGAAGGUGAUGCCGGAAAAUAGCACCACGUGGAAAGAAACGUUCUAUCAGCACAGUGAAAAGCAGAGGUCUCCUGAUGAGAAGAGAACAGACCCAGAUCAUGGAACCAAGGGUAUCUGCACCAGUCAAAUUGUUUAUUUUUCUCAUUUCCCCAAAUCAAUUUAGAU